AACGAACGCUGGCGGCAUGCCUAACACAUGCAAGUCGAACGAGACCUUCGGGUCUAGUGGCGCACGGGUGCGUAACGCGUGGGAACCUUCCCUUAGGUUCGGAAUAACUCUCCGAAAGGGGUGCUAAUACCGGAUAAUGUCUUCGGACCAAAGAUUUAUCGCGUUUGGAUGGGCCCGCGUUGGAUUAGCUAGUUGGUAGGGUAAAAGCCUACCAAGGCGACGAUCCAUAGCUGGUCAGAGAGGAUGAUCAGCCACACUGGGACUGGGACGCGGCCCAGACUCCUACGGGAGGCAGCAGUGGGGAAUAUUGGAAAAUGGGCGGAAGCCUGAACCAGCAAUGCCGCGUGAGUGAUGAAGGCCUUAGGGUUGUAAAGCUCUUUUACCCGGGAUGAUAAUGACAGUACCGGGAGAAUAAGCUCCGGCUAACUCCGUG
Molecule: ribosomal RNA, 433 nt
Filed under: uncultured bacterium
Lineage: Bacteria
Description: partial 16S ribosomal RNA
Rfam family: Bacterial small subunit ribosomal RNA
Source: RNAcentral